UACGUAGGGUGCAAGCGUUAAUCGGAAUUACUGGGCGUAAAGCGUGCGCAGGUGGCGCGUAAGACAGGUGUGAAAGCCCCGAGCUUAACUUGGGAAUUGCGCUUGUGACUGGCGUGCUGGAGUGUGGCAGAGGGAGGUGGAAUUCCACGUGUAGCAGUGAAAUGCGUAGAGAUGUGGAGGAACACCGAUGGCGAAGGCAGCCUCCUGGGCCAGCACUGACGCUCAUGCACGAAAGCGUGGGGAGCAAACAGG
RNAcentral lists this ribosomal RNA (252 nucleotides) under uncultured bacterium. RNAcentral's name for it is "partial 16S ribosomal RNA". It matches the Rfam family "Bacterial small subunit ribosomal RNA", at positions 524 to 776 of the family's 1533-position model. The record is from RNAcentral.